AAAGCGAGUUGUCUGCAUGGACUCAGCCUUGCGCGCUUUGGAAGGUUCCUGUAUGGGAACAAGGGUACUAUGUGGUGUCGGUCACUGUAGGAACUGAGUAGAACAGGUUCGGUUUGGGAACUGCUUGGGUUUUCGAGCAGUCGAAGACGACUGAGCUAGCUCUCGUGGGUUGUUUGAACAAACGCUGCGUUCUUGGAUAAUAGUGCAGUACGUUGCUUUGGAUUGACUGAUAAAUUUUCAUCGCACUGGGUCACCGACAGAGUUACGUGCUACAAAACUGCAGGCAAAGCGCUGUGUCCGUGCACGACAGAGCACUCGGUUGCUGCGGAGACAGCAUCCGGCAGCGUGGUGCCUCCACAGCGAGCCGGAUCGUUUCUUUCUCGUGCGUAUUUCCCGAGGACAUAGAGGAUGAGCGCCAUUGCUGGGCACUAGAUUAUAAGGUAUCGAGGCAUUUUGAGCCAGACGAGGCUUAGGGCGCACGACUAGACUCAGCCUUUAUCUCGUUAGUUACCAGUACGCGUUUGGGCGCAUCCACGGGUUCCGUCCGAGUCAUUGGACCGCUCGAGAUAUGGUAUGCGGUAUCUGGCCUGUUCGCUAUGUCGACGCGGAGCCAUGUGCCGCUAGACCUGAUGCCAAACCAGUGUUUGUUUCGUUUGUUGAAAAUGCAAGGAGCGAAGCCUGGUCAGGUUCGGUAAGCCGGCGGUGUCUCUGCUGGAGCCCAUUUGAAACCUCGCUCAGUGAUGCAAUGAUCGUAUUGAGGGUCAUAUCUAGUUUUACAUGGAUAUGGGGGAAACAACAUGGGGUCAUGCAUCCGCCCGAACAGGCGGUAUGAAAAUGAUAAGCAGGAGCGCAGACCAAGAGCCGCGUACAACUUGGUAAGCGGUAGUAUGUACAUUAGACGGCAGCCCCGGGGCAGCCAAUGUGGUGAUUGCUGCUGGCCCGAAAUCGCGCUUGCCGAGUUGUCAGUUUAAUCUGUGAAUCAGCAUCGCGCGGUACUCAUCGUAUCGCAGUUCCGCCUUGGUGCUUCGGUAUGUGGUCAGGAAGACGCAUUCCGACCACCAGGAGUCGGUUUCCGUCGCCGGAACGUCACCUAAGUAACCAGAUUUUCUGAUAAGAGAACAAAUGGUCUCGUAUUUGCUCCAUUUCAGUUCUAGCGGAACCUCGGGUAGAUACGUUGCGCUGUACCGCGAGGUCCGUGGCCUUGUGAACCUUCUCCACGCAAAUCGCCGCUGCUGAGACUGCGGUUCCACUUCAACAAUCAAUCCAUGGACGCCAGGUUCCCAGUCCCAAACCGAGUCGCGCUCCGUAAAGUCGCUCAGAAGACUAACAACGCAUAGCAGCCGGGGAAGUUCCUCGAUACGGAUCGGGGCGAAGCGACGAUCAUGCAAGGCCGCGGUGACUGCGUAUGAACGCAAUGCAUCGUGGAGGCCGGUCGGUGUCAGUGUACCGAUGCAACCGCGAAGUUGCCACACCGAGUCGGUGGUCGUCCGCAGAUGCCCUCUGUCCGCGAGUAUCUUCCAUGUGAUGAAGAGUCCGUAAGCGUCGCUGUCUGGUGGCAGCGCUUCACGGAACGGGUCGUCAUCGGUUGAUAGACGACCUCGAGCGCGCAGUUCCCGUUCUAGCACCGAGAACGCGUAUGCACACAUGACAGACGUCGCGACCACACCAGUAACCCCACCGGGGUGCUGCGCAGCCCCGCCGGCACCGCUGACCGUUGCGUUCGAAGCGUCCACCUGGGCGGUUACCGAAUUGUUGAGCGGCAAUCCCGGUGAUUCUCUGGCUUUCGUUGCAUCACUCAAGUUCCGUGCCGUUGGUUCGGUGGUAACGCUGCUCUCGUCCGACGUUGCCGCUGGGCUCCGUGUCAAGCGCUCGCCUGCACUUGCGGCCGGCUCAGUUGCUGCUGAGGAAGCUUUGUCACCAAAGUCAGUGUCUGAACGCUCUGACUGAACAGCGUCUCUUCGAAUUAACUUAUUCCACAUAGGCAAGCAAACGUUUUCAGGUGAACGUGCGUGCGCACGUCCAUGGACGCACGCAUCCGCUUCCUAGACACGCACGCGUGCACGCACGCAUGUCAAGUCUUUCAACUCAAUUCUGUUUCACCCCUGCUGCAGCGUAUAGCAGGUGAUCGAUAUUACGAUGCAAAGUACCGUUUGAAUCGUUGGCGAAUUGAAUGUAGGAUACAUAUUCUUUACUGAACAUUGGGAAGAGCACUGCACUCCUCUUUCGGGUCAGUAGGACCAUAGGAGAGGUACGGUUGGGGAACACUGACAGGAACCCAUGUAUGCUGCCUUUACCAAGACCCGAUAUUCUAAAAGUCUGCUUAUGGUCAAUGGUAGAAAAGGACCCGU
Molecule: RNA transcript, 2348 nt
Organism: Cyanidioschyzon merolae strain 10D
Lineage: Eukaryota; Rhodophyta; Bangiophyceae; Cyanidiales; Cyanidiaceae
Exons: 1
Source: RefSeq, a predicted model, not a curated record